AAGCUGACGGAGCACGCCGCGUGAGUGAUGAAGGUUUUCGGAUCGUAAAACUCUGUUGUUAGGGAAGAACAAGUGAAUAGUAACUGAUGGCACCUUGACGGUACCUAACCAGAAAGCCACGGCUAACUACGUGCCAGCAGCCGCGGUAAUACGUAGGUGGCAAGCGUUGUCCGGAAUUAUUGGGCGUAAAGCGCUCGCAGGCGGUUCUUUAAGUCUGAUGUGAAAUCUUACGGCUCAACCGUAAACGUGCAUUGGAAACUGGGGAACUUGAGUGCAGAAGAGGAGAGUGGAAUUCCACGUGUAGCGGUGAAAUGCGUAGAGAUGUGGAGGAACACCAGUGGCGAAGGCGACUCUCUGGUCUGUAACUGACGCUGAGGAGCGAAAGCGUGGGGAGCGAACAGGAUUAGAUACCCUGGCUAGUCCACGCCGUAAACGAUGAGUGCUAGGUGUCAGGGGGUUUCCG
Molecule: ribosomal RNA, 463 nt
Filed under: uncultured bacterium
Lineage: Bacteria
Description: bacterial SSU rRNA
Rfam family: Bacterial small subunit ribosomal RNA
Source: RNAcentral